Molecule: non-coding RNA, 19 nt
Filed under: Arabidopsis thaliana (thale cress)
Lineage: Eukaryota; Viridiplantae; Streptophyta; Magnoliopsida; Brassicales; Brassicaceae
Source: RNAcentral
CCGCGGUACACUGCGAGAC